GGAAAUGAGGGCAACCUGGUUACAGCAUCUACCUCUGUUGAGCCACCAACUGGGUUAACAAACUGGCUAGUAGUUAGUUCUCCCUUACUGUUGCACUUGUGUCCCUCCUGAAGCUGUGUACUCAUUCUAAGAGGAUGACCUUCUCUGACAGAGGAGGAACAUUUCUGACCAAAGUUCUACA
This 181-nucleotide small nuclear RNA is filed under the name Dipodomys ordii (Ord's kangaroo rat). RNAcentral's name for it is "7SK RNA". It matches the Rfam family "7SK RNA", at positions 1 to 196 of the family's 331-position model. From Rfam's summary of the family: 7SK was discovered as an abundant small nuclear RNA in the mid-70s but a possible function has only recently been suggested. Two independent studies have found that 7SK RNA binds the CDK9/cyclin T complex (known as elongation factor P-TEFb). Lineage: Eukaryota; Metazoa; Chordata; Mammalia; Rodentia; Heteromyidae. The record is from Rfam by way of RNAcentral.